UAUCAGUCAUGCAUAGCAUAUCAAUAAGCGGAGGAAAAGAAACUAACUAGGAUUCCCUUAGUAACGGCGAGUGAAGCGGGAAGAGCUCAAAUUUGAAAUCCUCAAGGUUCUACCUUGACGAAUUGUAGUUUAUAGAAGUGUUUUCUGUUAGUGGAGUGGCAAAAGUUCUUUGGAAUAGGACAUCAUAGAGGGUGAGAAUCCCGUAUUUGGUCACUCCUCCUAGCGUUGUGAUACACUUUCAACGAGUCGGAUUGUUUGGGAAUGCAGUCCAAAAUGGGUGGUAAAUUUCAUCUAAAGCUAAAUAUUGGCGAGAGACCGAUAGCGAACAAGUACCGUGAGGGAAAGAUGAAAAGAACUUUGAAAAGAGAGUUAAACAGUACGUGAAAUUGUCAAAAGGGAAGCGUUUGACACCAGUGUUGUUUAGUUGAAAAUCAAUUCAAUAAUUUUUGAUUUUGAGUAGUAUUGACUUCAUCAGCUUGCUGCUUUCUUUUCGGAAAUUAUUGAAUGCACUUUUCAGUUAACAAGUCAACAUCAAUUUCUUUUGUUGUAAAAGGGUAAGAGGAAGGUGGCUUACGCUUCGGCGUAAGUGUUUAUAGCCUUUUACCUCUGCGAUCGGAGAGAUUGAGGACAGCAGCGUAGACUCUUCGGGGUUAGAUACACUUGUGCUAAGCUAUAGCCUUUUCAUAGACAACUUGUUGACUAUGUUUAGUCUUGUAGCUUACUCGCUUAUGCUAUUUUACCUACGCUUAGGAUGUUGAUGUGAUACUGCGAGCA
This 774-nucleotide ribosomal RNA is filed under the name uncultured Neocallimastigales. RNAcentral describes it as "partial large subunit ribosomal RNA". It matches the Rfam family "Eukaryotic large subunit ribosomal RNA", at positions 22 to 627 of the family's 3401-position model. Lineage: Eukaryota; Fungi; Neocallimastigomycota; Neocallimastigomycetes; Neocallimastigales. The record is from RNAcentral.